GACGAACGCUGGCGGCGUGCCUAAUACAUGCAAGUCGAACGCAGUGGGGACGGGUGAGUAACACGUGGGUAACCUCCCAUCAGAGGGGAUAACACUUGGAAACAGGUGCUAAACCGAUACUGCUGUAUGCACCCGCGGUGCAUUAGCUAGUUGGUGAGGUAACGGGUCACAAAGUCCACGAUGCAUAGGCGAGCUAAGAGGGGGAUGGGCCACACUGGAACUGAGAAACGGCCAAGACUCAUACGGGAGGCAGCAGGAGGGAAUCGUGGGAAAUGGACGAAAGGCUGACCGAGCAACGCCGCGUGAGUGAAGAAGGUUUUCGGAUCGUAAAACUAUGUUGUUAGAGAAGCGGUAAGUAAAGAGAAAGCCACGGCUAACUACGUGCCAGCAGCCGCGGUAAUUG
RNAcentral lists this ribosomal RNA (403 nucleotides) under uncultured bacterium. RNAcentral describes it as "partial 16S ribosomal RNA". It matches the Rfam family "Bacterial small subunit ribosomal RNA", at positions 28 to 527 of the family's 1533-position model. The record is from RNAcentral.